CCUACGGGGCGCAGCAGUGGGGAAUAUUGGACAAUGGGCGAAAGCCUGAUCCAGCCAUGCCGCGUGUGUGAAGAAGGCCUUCGGGUUGUAAAGCACUUUCAGUGGGGAAGAAAGCCUUGGGGCUAAUACCCUCGAGGAAGGACAUCACCCACAGAAGAAGCACCGGCUAACUCCGUGCCAGCAGCCGCGGUAAUACGGAGGGGUGCGAGCGUUAAUCGGAAUUACUGGGCGUAAAGCGCGCGUAGGCGGUCUGAUAAGCCGGUUGUGAAAGCCCCGGGCUCAACCUGGGAACGGCAUCCGGAACUGUCAGGCUAGAGUGCAGGAGAGGAAGGUAGAAUUCCCGGUGUAGCGGUGAAAUGCGUAGAGAUCGGGAGGAAUACCAGUGGCGAAGGCGGCCUUCUGGACUGACACUGACGCUGAGGUGCGAAAGCGUGGGUAGCAAACAGGAUUAGAUACCCUUGUAGUC
RNAcentral lists this ribosomal RNA (466 nucleotides) under Vreelandella stevensii. RNAcentral describes it as "partial 16S ribosomal RNA". It matches the Rfam family "Bacterial small subunit ribosomal RNA", at positions 338 to 795 of the family's 1533-position model. The record is from RNAcentral. Lineage: Bacteria; Pseudomonadati; Pseudomonadota; Gammaproteobacteria; Oceanospirillales; Halomonadaceae.